GGAUUAGAUACCCUGGUAGUCCACGCCGUAAACGAUGUGUGUUAGACGUUGGAAAUUUAUUUUCAGUGUCGCAGUUAACGCGUUAAGCACUCCGCCUGGGAAGUACGGCCGCAAGGCUAAAACUCAAAUGAAUUGACGGGGACCCGCACAAGCGGUGGAUCAUGUGGUUUAAUUCGAAGAUACGCGAAGAACCUUACCGGCUCUUGACAUACCAAUCGCGGACUUAAGAGAUUAAGUCUUUCACUUCGGGUGGAUUGGAUACAGGUGCUGCAUGGCUGUCGUCAGCUCGUGCCG
Molecule: ribosomal RNA, 294 nt
Filed under: uncultured bacterium
Lineage: Bacteria
Description: partial 16S ribosomal RNA
Rfam family: Bacterial small subunit ribosomal RNA
Source: RNAcentral